UACCACAGGUUCUCGUAUGAUCACCGAAGUUAAGCAAUGUCGAGCCUGGUCAGUACCUAGAUGGGUGACCGCUUGGAACUAACAGGUGAUGUA
Non-coding RNA from Acanthosepion pharaonis, 93 nucleotides. Lineage: Eukaryota; Metazoa; Mollusca; Cephalopoda; Sepiida; Sepiidae. The record is from the annotation of a GenBank genome assembly.